AUUUUGAAAUUAAUUUUAUGCUUAGAUAAUUGGGUUUUGGAUUACAACAUUUAAAUCAAUAGUCAUUUGGCAGGAAGUGGCUACUUACUGAUUAGAAUCUGAUGUGUCUGAUUGUGAAAUGGUAGCCUAAUCGAGAAGAUGAAUAUGCUAGAAUUGAGGCAGCUGGAGGUUAGGGUGCAGAUGAAGAUAACUCCAUUAAAGCCAAGCCAACAUCCUCUAGGUUUGGAUUUCUUCUCAGAGAUGGAGCCGGCUAGGGUGCACUGGGUCGUGCUUCACCUUCAAUGUUCUCUAGUGGAUUGCUCCCAAGCCUAUGCAUGAGGUUUUGCUUGAGGGUGCUUUGCAACAUCAAACUGUGGAGGUUCAUUGGAAGAUAAUGGGGAUGUUGCUGCUGCUGCUUCUGCUUCGGCUUCUGGGAGCAGCUAUACAAUUAUUGUUUAUCUGAUUCAUGGGAGGCAGAUAGUAUACAAUUAUUGUUUGAUUGGUGGUUCAUGGUGGGGAUCUUGAUGGUACAAGCUUCUGAUACUUUUGUAUCCUACUUUUGUGUAGGUGGUACAAGCUGACUCAAAAGACUAAUGAGAACAAAAAGUCUAUCAAGCCAGAUUUGGAAGUGCAAGUUGUACCAAUCAGAAAUCCGUAUGGCCCUUCCAUUGUAGAUGAAAAUUUGGAGGUUGUGAUUGUAAGGUUUGGAGUAAAGGCCAUCUUUGUAUUUGGUGUGAAGUGUCUAUUAGAUUUUAUAUAUCUAUAGAAGCUUACAGAAAGAAACGUGUGAGUUGGGACAAAAUAUUUCAUUCCUAUUGGCUAUUUUUCUGUUCUUGAUUUC
Molecule: long non-coding RNA, 820 nt
Organism: Lotus japonicus
Lineage: Eukaryota; Viridiplantae; Streptophyta; Magnoliopsida; Fabales; Fabaceae
Exons: 4
Source: RefSeq, a predicted model, not a curated record